RNAcentral lists this ribosomal RNA (461 nucleotides) under uncultured Sphingobacteriales bacterium. RNAcentral describes it as "bacterial SSU rRNA". It matches the Rfam family "Bacterial small subunit ribosomal RNA", at positions 338 to 795 of the family's 1533-position model. Lineage: Bacteria; Pseudomonadati; Bacteroidota; Sphingobacteriia; Sphingobacteriales. The record is from RNAcentral.
CCUACGGGCGGCUGCAGUAAGGAAUAUUGGACAAUGGGCGGAAGCCUGAUCCAGCCAUGCCGCGUGAAGGACGAAGGCGCUCAGCGUUGUAAACUUCUUUUGGAUGGGAACAAUAACCGAGACUUGUCUUGGCUUGAGGGUACCAUCAGAAUAAGCACCGGCUAACUCCGUGCCAGCAGCCGCGGUAAUACGGAGGGUGCAAGCGUUAUCCGGAAUCACUGGGUUUAAAGGGUGCGUAGGCGGCCCGAUAAGUCAGUCGUGAAAUCGCUGGGCUCAACCCAUGCAAUUGCGAUUGAUACUGUUGGACUUGAAUUAGGUUGAGGCUGGCGGAAUGCGACAUGUAGCGGUGAAAUGCUUAGAUAUGUCGCAGAACACCGAUUGCGAAGGCAGCCAGCUGGGCCUAUAUUGACGCUGAGGCACGAAAGCGUGGGGAGCAAACAGGAUUAGAUACCCCAGUAGUC